GAUGAACGCUAGCGACAGGCCUAACACAUGCAAGUCGAGGGGCAGCACAAGGAGCAAUCUGAGGUGGCGACCGGCGCACGGGUGAGUAACACGUAUGCAACCUACCUGUAAGAGGGGAAUAACCCGUUGAAAAACGGACUAAUACCGCAUAACACUGUAGAACCGCAUGGUUUGACAGUUAAACAUUUAUGGCUUACAGAUGGGCAUGCGCAUGAUUAGCUAGUUGGUGAGGUAACGGCUCACCAAGGCAACGAUCAUUAGGGGUUCUGAGAGGAAGGUCCCCCACACUGGUACUGAGACACGGACCAGACUCCUACGGGAGGCAGCAGUGAGGAAUAUUGGUCAAUGGGCGAGAGCCUGAACCAGCCAAGUCGCGUGAAGGAUGAAGGUUUUAUGAAUUGUAAACUUCUUUUGCAGGGGAAUAAAGUGCGGUACGUGUACCGUUUUGUAUGUACUCUGCGAAUAAGGAUCGGCUAACUCCGUGCCAGCAGCCG
Molecule: ribosomal RNA, 494 nt
Filed under: uncultured bacterium
Lineage: Bacteria
Description: bacterial SSU rRNA
Rfam family: Bacterial small subunit ribosomal RNA
Source: RNAcentral